UUAAAUGAACCCUAAUCUCUUCAAUU
Molecule: non-coding RNA, 26 nt
Filed under: Rattus norvegicus (Norway rat)
Lineage: Eukaryota; Metazoa; Chordata; Mammalia; Rodentia; Muridae
Source: RNAcentral